CCUACGGGCGGCAGCAGUGGGGGAUAUUGCACAAUGGGGGAAACCCUGAUGCAGCGACGCCGCGUGUGGGAAGACGGUCUUCUGGAUUGUAAACCACUGUCCCCAGGGACGAAAAUGACGGUACCUGGGGAGGAAGCUCCGGCAAACUACGUGCCAGCAGCCGCGGGAAUACGUAGGGAGCAAUGGUUGUCCGGAAUUACUGGGGGAAAGGGGAGCGUAGGGGGGGAUGAAAGCUGGGUGUAAAAACUACCGGUUAAACCGAUAGUCGCACUCAAAACUGCAGCUCUUGAGUGAAGUAGAGGCAGGCGGAAUUCCUAGUGUAGCGGUGAAAUGCGUAGAUAUUAGGAGGAACACCAGUGGCGAAGGCGGCCUGCUGGGCUUUUACUGACGCUGAGGCUCGAAAGUGUGGGGAGCAAACAGGAUUAGAUACCCCGGUAGUC
RNAcentral lists this ribosomal RNA (440 nucleotides) under uncultured bacterium. RNAcentral describes it as "partial 16S ribosomal RNA". It matches the Rfam family "Bacterial small subunit ribosomal RNA", at positions 338 to 795 of the family's 1533-position model. The record is from RNAcentral.